GUCCUAGCUUCGGCUGGACAUAUACUAAAAUUGGAACGGUACAGAGAAGAUCAGCAUGGCCCCUGCACAAGGAUGACAAGCAAAAUCGUGAAAAAAGGGGUUCU
Toxorhynchites rutilus septentrionalis is the source of this 104-nucleotide small nuclear RNA. NCBI's taxonomy places the organism in Eukaryota, Metazoa, Arthropoda, Insecta, Diptera, Culicidae. The record is from RefSeq and is a predicted model, not a curated record.